This 372-nucleotide long non-coding RNA is filed under the name Androctonus crassicauda. Lineage: Eukaryota; Metazoa; Arthropoda; Arachnida; Scorpiones; Buthidae. The record is from RNAcentral.
GCCGGAUGGCAUACCUGGUUUAUUGACAAAUGUUGCAGAUGGUGUGAUUGCGCUUGCGCAUGGCGGUGCUGAUCGGGUUCAGGUUCCGCAUGGCCGUUGAGCUGGGGGACACAGUCCAGGCGGUGUGUGACGUGCAAACCUCAAUGAUCUAAAAAAUUGCAUAACACAACAUGUGCGAAACACCAUUCUUGAUGCAUUACAUUCCGCAGUUGAUCACGUCGCACACCGCCUGGAUUGUGUCCACCGGCUCGGUGGCCGUGUGGAGCCUGAACUUGGUCGGCGCCGCCAUGCGCAGGCGUGGUCGCAUUAUCUGUAACAUUUGUCAAUGGAUUGGGUAUGCCAUCCGGUUUUGCGUUUUAAUUCUUUGUUGUU